AUCAUGGAGAGUUUGAUCCUGGCUCAGAACGAACGCUGGCGGCGCGUUUUAAGCAUGCAAGUCGGACGGCAGCGGGGAGCGAUCUCCGUGAGAGUGGCGAACGGGUGAGUAACACGUAGGUGAUCUGUCUCUGUUUUGGGGAUAGCCUGUGGAAACAUGGGGUAAUACCGGAUACGCUCUAGGGAGUAAAGGCCCUGGAGGGAAGGCGCGUAUGCGCCGAACGGGGAUGAGCCUGCGGCCCAUUAGCUAGUUGGCGGGGUAAGAGCCUGCCAAGGCGACGAUGGGUAGCCGGCCUGAGAGGGUGAACGGCCACACUGGGACUGAGAUACGGCCCAGACUCCUACGGGAGGCAGCAGCUAAGAAUCUUCCGCAAUGGGCGCAAGCCUGA
Molecule: ribosomal RNA, 388 nt
Filed under: Spirochaetales bacterium
Lineage: Bacteria; Pseudomonadati; Spirochaetota; Spirochaetia; Spirochaetales
Description: bacterial SSU rRNA
Rfam family: Bacterial small subunit ribosomal RNA
Source: RNAcentral